UAUGGACAUACCACCCUGAACAUGCCAGGUUGGAAGCUAAGCAGGGUCAGACCUGGUUAGUACUUGGAUGAGAGGCUUCUUAGAGACUGAAAAUACUUCAUAU
This 103-nucleotide ribosomal RNA is filed under the name Fukomys damarensis (Damara mole-rat). The record is from RNAcentral. Lineage: Eukaryota; Metazoa; Chordata; Mammalia; Rodentia; Bathyergidae.